GGUGAACAUCGACCCACUCGGAUCGUCCGGCACGUACCUGCCGGUGGGAAGGAAAAU
The sequence is a regulatory RNA element, 57 nucleotides long. It matches the Rfam family "msiK RNA". The record is from Rfam.